Molecule: ribosomal RNA, 491 nt
Filed under: Paenibacillus sp. TERI 1018
Lineage: Bacteria; Bacillati; Bacillota; Bacilli; Caryophanales; Paenibacillaceae
Also listed under: 1 other name
Description: bacterial SSU rRNA
Rfam family: Bacterial small subunit ribosomal RNA
Source: RNAcentral
AUCCUGGCUCAGAUUGAACGCUGGCGGCAGGCUUAACACAUGCAAGUCGAGCGGGGGAAGGUAGCUUGCUACUGGACCUAGCGGCGGACGGGUGAGUAAUGCUUAGGAAUCUGCCUAUUAGUGGGGGACAACAUCUCNGAAAGGGAUGCUAAUACCGCAUACGUCCUACGGGAGAAAGCAGGGGAUCUUCGGACCUUGCGCUAAUAGAUGAGCCUAAGUCGGAUUAGCUAGUUGGUGGGGUAAAGGCCUACCAAGGCGACGAUCUGUAGCGGGUCUGAGAGGAUGAUCCGCCACACUGGGACUGAGACACGGCCCAGACUCCUACGGGAGGCAGCAGUGGGGAAUAUUGGACAAUGGGGGGAACCCUGAUCCAGCCAUGCCGCGUGUGUGAAGAAGGCCUUAUGGUUGUAAAGCACUUUAAGCGAGGAGGAGGCUACUUUAGUUAAUACCUAGAGAUAGUGACGUACUCGCAGAAUAAGCACCGCUAACUC